GCAAUAAAACUACUUAUCGGGAUGUGAGUAAGAGAUGAUGCCCAAACUUUUUAGUUUGAUCGAGAUUAGGUGCGGCUGCUUUAGCUUGAUCCCAUAUGAAAAUGGACUUAAUUUUAAUUAAUUUUGCACAGAUAUGAUCGAGAUUUAUUGUUUUUGUCAAAUUUCGAGGCAACAGAAUUAGAUCUCAGUGAAUUGGGGCACAGGAAAAGUAAAUGCUUUACAAUAAUUAGCACAUGUGCUGCCUCAGCAUGUACAUUAAAAAAAAAUAGUCCUGCUACUUGGAUUCAGUGGAAUGAGCUGGUUCAAAGUGAUGAAUUUUGAAGAAAAUGAUUUUGACACGCUAUUUUUCAUUUGAGCAUUACUAUUUUAAUCUGUUUGUGCCAUUCAAAAUGCAGGCUCUUAUAUCAUCAUGGAAAAAG
RNAcentral lists this unclassified non-coding RNA (419 nucleotides) under Hevea brasiliensis (rubber tree). The record is from RNAcentral. Lineage: Eukaryota; Viridiplantae; Streptophyta; Magnoliopsida; Malpighiales; Euphorbiaceae.